Molecule: ribosomal RNA, 120 nt
Filed under: uncultured bacterium
Lineage: Bacteria
Description: partial 16S ribosomal RNA
Rfam family: Bacterial small subunit ribosomal RNA
Source: RNAcentral
GACGAACGCUGGCGGCGUGCCUAACACAUGCAAGUCGAACGAGGUCCAUGCAGUGGCAACACUGCGGAAGACCUAGUGGCGAACGGGUGAGUAACACGUGAGGAACUUGCCCCGGAGACC